UUUUCCGGUUGAUCCUGCCGGAGGCCACUGCUAUCGGGGUUUGACUAAGCCAUGCGAGUCGAGAGGUUUCGGACCUCGGCGUACUGCUCAGUAACACGUGGACAAUCUGCCCUGGAGUGGAGGAUAAUCCCGGGAAACUGGGGGUAAUACUCCAUAGUUCGUAGAGGCUGGAAUGCCUAUCGAAUGAAAGAUCCGUCGCUCCAGGAUGAGUCUGCGGCCGAUUAGGUAGUUGUUGGGGUAAAGGCCCAACAAGCCUGUCAUCGGUACGGGUUGUGGGAGCAAGAGCCCGGAGAUGGAUUCUGAGACACGAAUCCAGGCCCUACGGGGCGCAGCAGGCGCGAAAACUUUACCAUGCGGGCAACCGUGAUAAGGAAACCCCGAGUGCCAGCACAGGCUGGCUGUCCAUCAGUGUAAAUAACUGGUGAAGAAAGGGCCGGGCAAGACCGGUGCCAGCCGCCGCGGUAAUACCGGCGGCUCGAGUGGUGGCCGCUAUUACUGGGCUUAAAGGGUCCGUAGCUUGAUAAUUGGGUCCCUUGAGAAAUCCGCCAGCUUAACUGGCGGGCGUUCAGGGGAAACUGGUUUUCUAGGGACCGGGAGAGGUGAGAGGUACUGCCGGGGUAGGAGUGAAAUCCUGUAAUCCCGGUGGGACCACCUAUGGCGAAGGCAUCUCACCAGAACGGGUCCGACAGUGAGGGACGAAAGCUGGGGGAGCAAACCGGAUUAGAUACCCGGGUAGUCCCAGCUGUAAACGAUGCGCGUUAGGUGUGUCAGUGACCACGUGUCACUGAGGUGCCGAAGGGAAACCGUGAAACGCGCCGCCUGGGGAGUACGGUCGCAAGGCUGAAACUUAAAGGAAUUGGCGGGGGAGCACCACAACGGGUGGAGCCUGCGGUUUAAUCGGACUCAACGCCGGAAAUCUCACCGGAUAAGACAGCUGAAUGAUAGUCGGGAUGAAGACUCUACUUGACUAGCUGAGAGGAGGUGCAUGGCCGUCGUCAGUUCGUACUGUGAAGCAUCCUGUUUAGUCAGGCAACGAGCGAGACCCACGCGACCAGUUGCCAGCUUGACCUUCGGGUUGAUGGGGACACUGCUCGGACCGCCUCUGCUAAAGGGGAGGAAGGAAUGGGCAACGGUAGGUCAGCAUGCCCCGAAUUAUCCGGGCUACACGCGGGCUACAAUGGAUAGGACAAUGGGUUUCGACACCGAGAGGUGAGGAUAAUCUCCUAAACCUAUCCGAAGUUCGGAUUGCGGGUUGUAACUCACCCGCAUGAAGCUGGAAUCCGUAGUAAUCGCGUUUCAACAUAGCGCGGUGAAUAUGUCCCUGCUCCUUGCACACSCCGCCCGUCAASCCACCCGAGUGAGGUCUUGAUGAGGUUGUGUCGUUGACAUGAUCGAAUCUGGGUUUUGCAAGGGGGGUUAAGUCGUAACAAGGUAGCCGUAGGGGAAUCUGCGGCUGGAUCACCUCCUUUCUGAAUCGAAU
Molecule: ribosomal RNA, 1480 nt
Filed under: Methanospirillum sp.
Lineage: Archaea; Methanobacteriati; Methanobacteriota; Methanomicrobia; Methanomicrobiales; Methanospirillaceae
Description: bacterial SSU rRNA
Rfam family: Archaeal small subunit ribosomal RNA
Source: RNAcentral